RNAcentral lists this ribosomal RNA (450 nucleotides) under uncultured bacterium. Its description in RNAcentral is "partial 16S ribosomal RNA". It matches the Rfam family "Bacterial small subunit ribosomal RNA", at positions 354 to 796 of the family's 1533-position model. The record is from RNAcentral.
GUGGGGAAUAUUGGACAAUGGGCGAAAGCCUGAUCCAGCCAUGCCGCGUGUGUGAAGAAGGUCUUCGGAUUGUAAAGCACUUUAAGUUGGGAGGAAGGGCAGUAAGUUAAUACCUUGCUGUUUUGACGUUACCGACAGAAUAAGCACCGGCUAACUUCGUGCCAGCAGCCGCGGUAAUACGAAGGGUGCAAGCGUUAAUCGGAAUUACUGGGCGUAAAGCACGCGUAGGUGGUUUUGUAAGUUGGAGGUGAAAUCCCCGGGCUCAACCUGGGAACUGCCUCCAAAACUGCAUGACUAGAGUACGGUAGAGGGUAGUGGAAUUUCCUGUGUAGCGGUGAAAUGCGUAGAUAUAGGAAGGAACACCAGUGGCGAAGGCGACUACCUGGACUGAUACUGACACUGAGGUGCGAAAGCGUGGGGAGCAAACAGGAUUAGAAACCCGUGUAGUCC